This 968-nucleotide long non-coding RNA is filed under the name Vitis vinifera (wine grape). RNAcentral's name for it is "long non-coding RNA (VVIN_LNC004714)". Lineage: Eukaryota; Viridiplantae; Streptophyta; Magnoliopsida; Vitales; Vitaceae. The record is from RNAcentral.
GUUGGUCAAGCAAACUGAUUCAUUUAAUUUUUGUAAGUGUAUUUGUGUAUUGGCAAUUCCGGGUCAAAAUUCCCAUUGUGUCUCAUAGCUCAUACUCUUCAAAUCCUUCCUUGGACACUUGCCUUUUCCAAAUUGUUUGUGUUUGAAGAUGGCUAGAGGAGUUGGUAAGUGCAUUUAAGGUAUCGGAUGACGGAAAACAUUGAUCAACCUUGUUUUAAACUCUUAUCAUUUUAUUAAAAAAUGGAGUGGUUGCAUAAGGAGUGUAAAAUAUAAUGUUUAAAUCAUUUGAAUCGAUUUUUGAUCAAUCAAACUUAAGGGUAACAGUUUCUGCUAUACCCAAUUCUUUUUAAUCUUCUCUGAUCAAUCAAACUUUGAUCACAUCUACAUUCCUUCAACUUUUUCUCAAGUCAUUCUCAACCGUUGGAUGGGUUUUAAAACCCUAAUACUUAAGCUUUCAGAAGAAGAGAGGCAGCUGUGAGAGUGAAAACCUAGUUCUGAGCUUCAAGUUUUUCUUACCAAAUUGGGGAGAGUUUGCCUUAAGAGAAAAUCACUUGUGUUUGAGUUGAAAAACAUUUUUGAGUGAGAAAUUUUUGUUUCAAAUGGGUUGAUUCAUGGUGUUAUUCAUCCUUGCUCUCAUAUUGCUCUCAUAUUCAACAUAUUUGGGGUAAAACCCAAGUUUCUUCUUGUGUGGACUCAAGAAGAGGCUGAGAUCAAAGCUUGGAGUGGAUUCCAAGUAUUUUCCAAAAGAAGAAAGGUGGUAUCUGAAGCUUAAAGGUUCUAGGCAAGUAAUUGGGGAGAGGAUAGAAGGCUUGGUCUAGGUAAAUCCUAGUACUCAACUAAUUUUUCUUCAUAGUGGAUCAUUUGAUUGCUUGAGGCCCUUGGUAUUUUUAUCUCUUCAGAGGUUUUCCACGUUAAAAAAUUGAUGUCAUUGUCUCUUUAUUCUAUCUCAUCUUUUGAUAAGUAUUUCA